RNAcentral lists this unclassified non-coding RNA (340 nucleotides) under uncultured fungus. RNAcentral describes it as "partial contains 5.8S rRNA and ITS2". Lineage: Eukaryota; Fungi. The record is from RNAcentral.
AACGCAAAUUGCGCUCGAGGCUUCGGCCAAGAGCAUGUCUGCCUCAGCGUCGGGUUAAUACUCACAUGCCCAUUCCCAGGAAUAGGUGUGUGGAUCUGGCUGUCUCGGUUCGUGCCUUCUUUAACGAGAGGGUAUAGUUUAACCGGGUCGGCUGAAGUGCAGAUGUCAAAGCAUGGACCGUUAAUCGGGCCUCUACUGGGUAGGCAACUCGUUUGCUGCAUCGCUUUAGUAGAUGGCUUGGGUACUGCCUUUGGCACAAAGCAGGAGUAUCUGUUAAUUCAGGUACAACCAAUACCAUUUUCUCGACCUGAGCUCAGGCAAGAUUACCCGCUGAACUUAA